UUAAUACCGGAUAUGACCACUACGGACAUCUGUUUUGGUGGAAAGAAUUUCGGCUAGGGAUGAGCUCGCGGCCUAUCAGCUUGUUGGUGGGGUAACGGCCUACCAAGGCGACGACGGGUAGCCGGCCUGAGAGGGCGACCGGCCACACUGGGACUGAGACACGGCCCAGACUCCUACGGGAGGCAGCAGUGGGGAAUAUUGCGCAAUGGGCGAAAGCCUGACGCAGCGACGCCGCGUGGGGGAUGAAGGCCUUCGGGUUGUAAACCCCUUUCAGCAGGGACGAAGCGAAAGUGACGGUACCUGCAGAAGAAGCGCCGGCUAACUACGUGCCAGCAGCCGCGGUAACACGUAGGGCGCAAGCGUUGUCCGGAAUUAUUGGGCGUAAAGAGCUCGUAGGCGGUCUGUUGCGUCCGCUGUGAAAACUCGGGGCUUAACCCCGAGCCUGCAGUGGAUACGGGCAGACUAGAGGUAGGUAGGGGAGAAUGGAAUUCCCGGUGUAGCGGUGAAAUGCGCAGAUAUCGGGAGGAACACCGGUGGCGAAGGCGGUUCUCUGGGCCUUACCUGACGCUGAGGAGCGAAAGCGUGGGGAGCGAACA
RNAcentral lists this ribosomal RNA (596 nucleotides) under uncultured bacterium. RNAcentral describes it as "bacterial SSU rRNA". It matches the Rfam family "Bacterial small subunit ribosomal RNA", at positions 163 to 774 of the family's 1533-position model. The record is from RNAcentral.